RNAcentral lists this ribosomal RNA (253 nucleotides) under uncultured bacterium. Its description in RNAcentral is "partial 16S ribosomal RNA". It matches the Rfam family "Bacterial small subunit ribosomal RNA", at positions 524 to 776 of the family's 1533-position model. The record is from RNAcentral.
UACGUAGGGUGCAAGCGUUGUCCGGAAUUAUUGGGCGUAAAGAGCUCGUAGGCGGUUUGUCGCGUCUGCUGUGAAAACUCGGGGCUUAACCCCGGGCCUGCAGUGGGUACGGGCAGACUAGAGUGCGGUAGGGGAGACUGGAAUUCCUGGUGUAGCGGUGAAAUGCGCAGAUAUCAGGAGGAACACCGGUGGCGAAGGCGGCUUCCUGGACCUGUUCUGACGCUGAGGAGCGAAAGCGUGGGGAGCGAUCCGG